Molecule: ribosomal RNA, 849 nt
Filed under: Triticum aestivum (bread wheat)
Lineage: Eukaryota; Viridiplantae; Streptophyta; Magnoliopsida; Poales; Poaceae
Description: partial small subunit ribosomal RNA
Source: RNAcentral
AUGCCUUGUGCAAGGUCAGGGCAAUGGACAAGGCAAAGCUGGUCCUUCAGCAGAUGGUUGAUAAUGGUGUUCGACCAAAUAUGUAUACAUGCAUGGAACUCAUUCAUGUACUCCCUUUGCAAGAAUGGAGGAAGCAAAGAAGCUGCAGAAUUUUUUGACUCCAUGACCUCCAAGGGCCUCAAACCUAAUAUCGUCGUGUACUCUACUCUUCUUCACGGGUAUGCUACUGAAGGAUGCCUAGCCGAUAUGAUUAAUCUCUUUAAUUCAAUGAAAGACAAUGCUAUUGUAGCCAACUGCAAUGUUUUCAACAUAUUAAUUGAUGCAUAUGCUAAACGUGGAAUGAUGCAUGAAGCUAUGCUCAUAUUUACUGAAAUGCAGGAACAAAGAGUGAGUCCUAAUGUAUUCACCUAUGCAAUUGUAACAGCUGCACUUUGCAGAAUGGGCAGGCUGUCUGAUGCAAUGGACAAACUAAAUGAGAUGAUUGCAAUGGGAUUACAACCGAACAAGGUUGUUUAUCAUUCUCUAAUUCAGGGUUUUUGUACACAUGGUGAUUUGGUGAAAGCAAAGGCCUUGGUUUCUGAAAUGAUGAACAAAGGUAUUCCUCGUCCAAACAUUGUGUUCUUCAGCUCAGUAAUAAACAGUCUAUGCAAGGAAGGAAGGGUUACCGAGGCACACGAUAUCUUCGACUUGGCUAUAAACAUUGGCGAGAGGCCUAACGUUAUUACAUUUAGUUCACUGAUUGACGGAUAUUGUUUAGCCGGGAAGAUGGAUAAAGCAUUCGGAGUACUAGAUGCUAACACUUUUGAGUAUUUCAAGGAAAAUAUGUGCAAGAGAAUAAGUAGAUGGAAG